CGAGAGUCGGCUUCCUUACAUCCGUUGUUCCUUAGUAGCUUAGUGGUAGAGCGGUCGGCUGUUAACUGAUUGGUCAUAGGUUCAAAUCCUACUUGGGGAGAAUUUAGAGUUCUCGCUAAUCUGACCUAGCG
This 131-nucleotide transfer RNA is filed under the name Helianthus annuus (common sunflower). RNAcentral's name for it is "hypothetical non coding rna". The stretch from base 29 to 100 matches the Rfam family "tRNA". Rfam says of the family: Transfer RNA (tRNA) molecules are approximately 80 nucleotides in length. Their secondary structure includes four short double-helical elements and three loops (D, anti-codon, and T loops). The record is from RNAcentral. Lineage: Eukaryota; Viridiplantae; Streptophyta; Magnoliopsida; Asterales; Asteraceae.